RNAcentral lists this ribosomal RNA (432 nucleotides) under uncultured bacterium. RNAcentral describes it as "partial 16S ribosomal RNA". It matches the Rfam family "Bacterial small subunit ribosomal RNA", at positions 29 to 507 of the family's 1533-position model. The record is from RNAcentral.
AACGAACGCUGGCGGCAUGCCUAACACAUGCAAGUCGAACGAGACCUUCGGGUCUAGUGGCGCACGGGUGCGUAACGCGUGGGAAUCUGCCCUUCGGUUGGGAAUAACUGAGAGAAAUUUCAGCUAAUACCUUAUAAUGUCUUCGGACCAAAGAUUUAUCGCCGAGGGAUGAGCCCGCGUAGGAUUAGGUAGUUGGUGGGGUAAUGGCCUACCAAGCCGACGAUCCUUAGCUGGUCUGAGAGGAUGAUCAGCCACACUGGGACUGAGACACGGCCCAGACUCCUACGGGAGGCAGCAGUGGGGAAUAUUGGACAAUGGCCGAAAGCCUGAUCCAGCAAUGCCGCGUGAGUGAUGAAGGCCUAGGGUUGUAAAGCUCUUUUACCCGGGAUGAUAAUGACAGUACCGGGAGAAUAAGCUCCGGCUAACUCCGUG